RNAcentral lists this unclassified non-coding RNA (334 nucleotides) under uncultured fungus. RNAcentral's name for it is "partial contains small subunit ribosomal RNA, internal transcribed spacer 1, and 5.8S ribosomal RNA". The stretch from base 1 to 73 matches the Rfam family "Eukaryotic small subunit ribosomal RNA", at positions 1759 to 1831 of the family's 1831-position model. Lineage: Eukaryota; Fungi. The record is from RNAcentral.
UCAAACUUGGUCAUUUAGAGGAAGUAAAAGUCGUAACAAGGUUUCCGUAGGUGAACCUGCGGAAGGAUCAUUACAAAAGUGCCCCGGCCUUGUGCCGGUGGACAGCGAACUGCCCUCGAGAGGGGGUAUGUUUGUCAACCCAUUGUGAACCUACUACCUUUGCUUCGGCAGCACUCCUAGCGGGCAACCGCUGGGGGGUAAGGCUGCCAGAAGCCCAUAUCAAAACCAGUUGAUGAAAUGUCAUGCUGUCUGAUAACCACUUUUGAGAAAUCAAAUGUAUAUUAAAACUUUCAGCAACGGAUCUCUUGGUUCUCGCAUCGAUGAAGAACGCAGC